RNAcentral lists this long non-coding RNA (1369 nucleotides) under Nothobranchius furzeri (turquoise killifish). Its description in RNAcentral is "lncRNA (ENSNFUG00015004523.1)". The record is from RNAcentral. Lineage: Eukaryota; Metazoa; Chordata; Actinopteri; Cyprinodontiformes; Nothobranchiidae.
CAUACUUUAAUUAGAAUUGUAACAUUUUAAUGGGAACAGAAUUCCUUUUAGACUGGUGUUAAUCUUCGUAGCUGAUCCAAUUUAGACUUUGGGUUUGUUUAACUUCAGACCGGGACCCGCAUUAACCUCAGCAUGCAGAAGUGAGUCUUCUCAAUAAGAGUCACUCUGUCACACCCCGUCUUGUCUCCCCAUUCUGUUUAGUCAUGUGUCUCUGUUAAUUGCUCCCACCUGCCUCUCGUUUUCCAAUCACCCAAGCUCCCAGCCCUCAUGUAUUUAAACCCCUUCAGUCCUGUGUCUCUGUUAAUUGCUCCCACCUGCCUCUCGUUUUCCAAUCACCCAAGCUCCCAGCCCUCAUGUAUUUAAACCCCUUCAGUCCUGUGUCUCUUGUUGGUUCAUUGUUUCCAUGUCCUGCGUGCUUGAUAUUAAAACUAUUGUAAAACCGUUCCUACCUGUCUGCCUGCCUUCCUCACCUGCGUGAGGAUCCUCACCUCAUCUCCGCUUCGCUCACCGGCACGUGUGUGACACAGUCCUUAAAACAAUAUGACUCACCGAUCAGUAUUAGUUACUGAUCAAUCCGAGUCAUUGCUAAAUCGAGUCACUGAAUGAUACUAGUCACUGAUCAAUAGGAGGCACUGCUUAAUACAAGUCAAUGAUCAAAACUAGUCACAAAUCAAUACGAGUCACUACCCCAUGUGAAUUACAGCUCAACAUGAGUCACUGAUCAAUGAGAGUCACUGCUAAAUACGAGUCAUGAAUCAACAUGAGUCACUGCUAAAUAUUAGUCACUGAUCAAUACGUGUCACUGAUCAAUUAAAAUCACUGCUAAAACUGAGUCACUGAUCAGUACUAGUCAUGGGUCAAUAUAAGUCACUGCUAAAUAUGAGUCACUGUCCAAUAUGAGUCACAGCUAAACAUGAGUCACUGAUCAAUGAGUCACAAAUCAAGUCACUGCUAAAUAUGAUUCACUGAUCAAUAUGAGUCACUCAUCAAUAAAAGUCAGUGCUAAAAACGAGUCACUGAUUAAUACUAGUCAUUGAUCAAUAGGAAUCACUGCUAAAUAAGUCAUUGAUCAAUAUGAUGCACUGCGAAAUACGAGUCAUGGAUCAAUACUAAUCACUGAUCAAUAUGAGUUACUGAUCAAUAGGAGUCAUUGCUAAAUAAGAGUCAUUGAUCAAUAUGAUGCACUGCUAAAUACGAGUCAUGGAUCAAUACUAAUCACUGAUCAAUAUGAGUUACUGAUCAAUAGGAGUCACUGCUAAAAACGAGUAUUUGUUCAAUAGGAGUCACUGAUCAAUACUGAUCAACAAGAGUCACUGCUGAAUACGAUUGGUGAAUAUGAGUCACUGAUUAAUACGAGUCACAUUGUUUA